RNAcentral lists this non-coding RNA (95 nucleotides) under Alphaproteobacteria bacterium. RNAcentral describes it as "TPP sequence". It matches the Rfam family "TPP riboswitch aptamer (THI element)". From Rfam's summary of the family: Vitamin B(1) in its active form thiamin pyrophosphate (TPP) is an essential coenzyme that is synthesised by coupling of pyrimidine and thiazole moieties in bacteria. The previously detected thiamin-regulatory element, thi box was extended, resulting in a new, highly conserved RNA secondary structure, the THI element, which is widely distributed in eubacteria and also occurs in some archaea. Analysis of operon structures identified a large number of new candidate thiamin-regulated genes, mostly transporters, in various prokaryotic organisms. Lineage: Bacteria; Pseudomonadati; Pseudomonadota; Alphaproteobacteria. The record is from RNAcentral.
AAGAACUCAUCGGGGUGCUCUUAUGGAAGAGCUGAGAUUAGACCCGUGAACCUGAUCCGGCUCAUACCGGCGGAGGAAAUGAGAUGUCUACUCCU